AGUGAACGCUGGCGGCGUGCUUAACACAUGCAAGUCGAACGAGAACGGAAUAUAGCUUGCUAUAUUUGUCAGCUAAGUGGCGCACGGGUGAGUAAUGUAUAGAUAACCUGCCCUUAAGAAAGGAAUAACAGUUGGAAACGACUGCUAAUGCCCUAUAUGCCUUUAAUACAUAAGUAUGCAAGGGAAACGCUUUAGUGCUUAAGGAUGGGUCUGUAUGGUAUCAGCUUGUUGGUGAGGUAAUGGCUCACCAAGGCUAUGACGCCUAACUGGUUUGAGAGGAUGAUCAGUCACACUGGAACUGAGACACGGUCCAGACUCCUACGGGAGGCAGCAGUGGGGAAUAUUGCACAAUGGACGAAAGUCUGAUGCAGCAACGCCGCGUGGAGGAUGACACAUUUCGGUGCGUAAACUCCUUUUAUAUAGGAAGAUAAUGACGGUACCCGGAGAAGAAGCCCCGGCUAACUUCGUGCCAGCCGCCGCAGUAA
Molecule: ribosomal RNA, 485 nt
Filed under: uncultured bacterium
Lineage: Bacteria
Description: partial 16S ribosomal RNA
Rfam family: Bacterial small subunit ribosomal RNA
Source: RNAcentral